Molecule: ribosomal RNA, 449 nt
Filed under: uncultured bacterium
Lineage: Bacteria
Description: partial 16S ribosomal RNA
Rfam family: Bacterial small subunit ribosomal RNA
Source: RNAcentral
AACGAACGCUGGCGGCAGGCCUAACACAUGCAAGUCGAACGCCCUAGCAAUAGGGAGUGGCAGACGGGUGAGUAACACGUGGGAACCUUCCCUAUAGUACGGAAUAGCCCAGGGAAACUUGGAGUAAUACCGUAUACGCCCGAGAGAGGAAAGAUUUAUCGCUAUAGGAUGGGCCCGCGUCGGAUUAGCUAGUUGGUGAGGUAAUGGCUCACCAAGGCAACGAUCCGUAGCUGGUUUGAGAGAAUGACCAGCCACACUGGGACUGAGACACGGCCCAGACUCCUACGGGAGGCAGCAGUGGGGAAUCUUGGACAAUGGGCGAAAGCCUGAUCCAGCCAUGCCGCAUGAGUGAUGAAGGCCUUAGGGUUGUAAAGCUCUUUUGGCGGGGACGAUAAUGACGGUACCCGCAGAAUAAGUCCCGGCUAACUUCGUGCCAGCCGCCGCCGUAA